AAAUGCGAUAAGUAAUGUGAAUUGCAGAAUUCAGUGAAUCAUCGAAUCUUUGAACGCACCUUGCGCUCCUUGGUAUUCCUUGGAGCAUGCCUGUUUGAGUAUCAUGAAAUCUUCAAAGUAAAUCUUUUGUUAACUCAAUUGGUUUCUACUUUGGUAUUGGAGGUCUUUGCAGCUUCACACCUGCUCCUCUUUGUUCAUUAGCUGGAUCUCAGUGUUAUGCUUGGUUCCACUCGGCGUGAUAAGUUAUCUAUCGCUGAGGACACUGUAAAAGGUGGCCAAGGUAAAUGCAGAUGAACCGCUUCUAAUAGUCCAUUGACUUGGACAAUACUUUUAUGAUCUGAUCUCAAAUCAGGUAGGACUACCCGCUGAACUUACGC
RNAcentral lists this unclassified non-coding RNA (377 nucleotides) under plant metagenome. RNAcentral describes it as "partial contains 5.8S ribosomal RNA, internal transcribed spacer 2, and large subunit ribosomal RNA". The stretch from base 1 to 104 matches the Rfam family "5.8S ribosomal RNA", at positions 51 to 154 of the family's 154-position model. The record is from RNAcentral.